AUGAACGCUGUAAAAAGUGCAUGACACAUGCAAGUUUAAAAGUUUUUUUAACUUUGGCGCACGGGUGAGAAAGUAUUAUAUAGCUGCCCAUAGAUUUUGCUAAAUUCAUUAAAUUAUAUUGUCAUUGGAUGCUUAUAUAUUGGAUUAGGUAGUUGACCAGAUAGCAGCCGGCCAAGCCAUUAAUAUCCAUAGCUGUCUUGAGAGAGUGAACAGCCACACUGGGAUUGAGAUACGGCCCAGACACAGUCAGCAGUGCGGAAUAUUGGACAAUGAGCGAAAGCUUGAUCCAGCAACUUUUUAAGGAAGAAGACCGCUCAUAGGCUGAACUUUCUGAAACUUGGUAAAAAUUAUUAGUUAUUGACUAAGUAAAAGCCCUGGCUAAAGCUCCGU
RNAcentral lists this ribosomal RNA (390 nucleotides) under uncultured bacterium. RNAcentral describes it as "bacterial SSU rRNA". It matches the Rfam family "Bacterial small subunit ribosomal RNA", at positions 29 to 506 of the family's 1533-position model. The record is from RNAcentral.